RNAcentral lists this long non-coding RNA (203 nucleotides) under Vigna radiata. RNAcentral describes it as "long non-coding RNA (VRAD_LNC001368)". The record is from RNAcentral. Lineage: Eukaryota; Viridiplantae; Streptophyta; Magnoliopsida; Fabales; Fabaceae.
GAGAGUGAGAAAUCCUUACCGAAGAUCCACCUUGAGAAGUUGGACAGAGUAAUAAGGAUGUAGAUUCAGUGGUUGUAUUUAUACUCGAAGAUCCAGUUUGGGAGACAAAGUAGGAUAAGAUAAUUGAGCAAGCAAGUAGGUGCAUCCAUAUCCGAAGAUCCACUUUGGGGAACAAAGUAGGAUAUAUCUGAGUAAAGUACCAC